GGUGAACGCUGGCGGCGUGCCUAAUACAUGCAAGUCGAGCGAACAGAUGAGGAGCUUGCUCCUCUGACGUUAGCGGCGGACGGGUGAGUAACACGUGGAUAACCUACCUAUAAGACUGGGAUAACUUCGGGAAACCGGAGCUAAUACCGGAUAAUAUAUUGAACCGCAUGGUUCAAUAGUGAAAGACGGUUUUGCUGUCACUUAUAGAUGGAUCCGCGCCGCAUUAGCUAGUUGGUAAGGUAACGGCUUACCAAGGCAACGAUGCGUAGCCGACCUGAGAGGGUGAUCGGCCACACUGGAACUGAGACGCGGUCCAGACUCCUACGGGAGGCAGCAGUAGGGAAUCUUCCGCAAUGGGCGAAAGCCUGACGGAGCAACGCCGCGUGAGUGAUGAAGGUCUUCGGAUCGUAAAACUCUGUUAUUAGGGAAGAACAAAUGUGUAAGUAACUAUGCACGUCUUGACGGUACCUAAUCAGAAAGCCACGGCUAACUACGUG
This 497-nucleotide ribosomal RNA is filed under the name uncultured bacterium. RNAcentral's name for it is "partial 16S ribosomal RNA". It matches the Rfam family "Bacterial small subunit ribosomal RNA", at positions 28 to 507 of the family's 1533-position model. The record is from RNAcentral.